CCUACGGGAGGCAGCAGUAAGGAAUAUUGGACAAUGCUCGCAAGAGUGGUCCAGCCAUGCCGCGUGCAGGAAGACGGCCCUAUGGGUUGUAAACUGCUUUUGAACUAGAGAAAACCCUCCUACGUGUAGGAGGCUGAUAGUAUAGUUAGAAUAAGCAUCGGCUAACUUCGUGCCAGCAGCCGCGGUAAGACGAAGGAUGCAAGCGUUAUCCGGAUUCAUUGGGUUUAAAGGGAGCGUAGGUGGACUGAUAAGUCAGUGGUGAAAUCUCUCGGCUUAACCGAGAAAUUGCCAUUGAUACUGUUGGUCUUGAGUACAGUUGCUGUGGGCGGAAUAUGACAUGUAGUGGUGAAAUACAUAGAGAUGUCAUAGAACACCGAUUGCGAAGGCAGCUCACAAAGCUGUAACUGACACUGAGGCUCGAAAGUGCGGGGAUCAAACAGGAUUAGAUACCCUGGUAGUCCGCACCGUAAACGAUGAUUACUCGCUGCUGGGAGGUAACUUUCGAGUGCUUAGCGAAAGAGAAGUAAGUAAGUUACCGACCGUGGGUUAGGUUACGGCCGGCGACGGAGAACGACGAAGGAAGUUAGACGGCGNGAGACGNGCGACGGACGACGACGAGGGAGGUUAGG
Molecule: ribosomal RNA, 629 nt
Filed under: uncultured bacterium
Lineage: Bacteria
Description: bacterial SSU rRNA
Rfam family: Bacterial small subunit ribosomal RNA (bases 1-537)
Source: RNAcentral